CUGGAAACAAAAGCGCGCAGAGACCUCUGUCUGCGGAGGUGAACUCCAGCAAAUACGUUUAGGAGGAAAGUAACAAUUAUUUUACUAACUCGAAUAGUAACAGUGGUAUCCCAUGUUAAAUGGUUAUACUUUCUUACGUUGGUUGUUAUAAUUUGAAGAUUCAAGAAAAGCGUAUAGCAAGCAUAUGGGCCAUACACAUUUGUACAGGGCCAAAUAUUCAGUAAAGGACAACAUUAUUUUUGACCAUCAGAUGACAAGAUACGGUAUCAACUGGACAUAGGCUACAGUAUAAGAUAAGAUCUAAACCAGGCCAGAACUUGUCCGUGUAGACCAAUUUGGGUUUCCAAUCUCUCCAAAAGAAUGUGGUGACCGAUGGUAUCAAAAGCAGCACUAAGAUCUAGGAGCACGAGGACAGAUGCAGAGCCUCGGUCUGAUGCCAUUAAAAGGUCCUGGCAGAGUUGUGCAGACUCAGGACAAUGGAGCUUUGGAGGAAUACGCAGAUUUAAAGAGGAGUCCGUAAUUAGCUUUCUAAUGAUCAUGAUCUUUUCCUCAAAGAAGUUCAUUAAUUUAUUAUUGCUGAAGUGAAGGUGUGUUUCUGAGCAGUCCAAGCCUGAAACUUCUGAGAAAGAUGGUGAGGUCACUGGGAGUCAAAAAGGCACGGUGCUGCCAUCAAGUACGUGACUUAGGCAACCUUUGUGAACAUUAAACAAAGAAAGAACUGAGGUUGAGGCAGGGGGAGCAGCAAGUAAGUACAUGUGGUCCUACUUCUCUGGAUUUCUCAGUCUGGCAGGGUUUAGUGGACUAUCAUCAGAUCAGUACAUCAGAAUGAGAUUGGAC
This 837-nucleotide long non-coding RNA is filed under the name Salmo salar (Atlantic salmon). RNAcentral's name for it is "lncRNA (ENSSSAG00000104810.1)". The record is from RNAcentral. Lineage: Eukaryota; Metazoa; Chordata; Actinopteri; Salmoniformes; Salmonidae.